Molecule: long non-coding RNA, 575 nt
Organism: Antechinus flavipes (yellow-footed antechinus)
Lineage: Eukaryota; Metazoa; Chordata; Mammalia; Dasyuromorphia; Dasyuridae
Exons: 3
Source: RefSeq, a predicted model, not a curated record
AAGGGUUGGAUAAACCACCUUAUACACAUACCAUCAGUCUUCUAUGUUGACAGCAGCUGUGUAUCAGGGGAACUCAUGAAAUGGGCAGUGCAGUGGAUACAGCACUGGACUUGGAGCAAGGAAGAUGUGAGUUCAAAUCCAGCCUUGCUAGCUGUGGGAUUUUUGGCGGCAGGAAGCCCCUGAGACGGCUGCUUGGGUUUAUGAUGUGUGAGUGCUUUCUGCUGAGGUCCUGUAAUCCUCCUCCACCUUCAGUGAGUCACCUAUCUCCUCUGGCCCCUAAUGGGAGGUGAUCUUCAGAAUCUUGCUAAGAAAACACGGAUCUUCCAUCAGCCAGCCCACACCGUCCCCAUGUGGAACCAUCAGUUACAGCACAUGGUGAAGUUUUGAAGGCGGUGAGUAAGUUCUCUUACCUCGGCAGGAUGCUUUCCAGGGAUGUCCACACUGAUAAUGAGAUUGACAGAGCUAGCUCAGUGUUUGGGAAGCUCUGAAGGAAAAUGUGGGAGAGGAAAAAUAUUUAACUACUGAACUGAAGAUGUACAGAGCUGUUAUACCUCAUUGUUGCAUGUCUGUGAAAC